This is a long non-coding RNA of Cygnus olor (mute swan), 420 nucleotides long. RefSeq lists it as uncharacterized. The record is from RefSeq and is a predicted model, not a curated record. NCBI's taxonomy places the organism in Eukaryota, Metazoa, Chordata, Aves, Anseriformes, Anatidae. The transcript has 3 exons.
CCGGCACGCCGACCCUCGGGCCGCGGACCCGCGUUUCGUUACUUCUACGCUUGGGGGAUGCCCGGGCCACGGCCAAUAAGUAAUGGUGGUGGCCAGCGGUGGUGGGAGAUGAGCGGUGUGGGAGAGCUGCGAGGAGAUGGGCUUCUGUUUUCUGAACACUUCUUUCUCACAUUUCCUCUUCACCUCCCUACCAGCAUCUUCCACAGGAGCAAUGGGAAUACUCAUAUCUGGAAGCAGUGAGGAAAAACAUGAAGUUGCCCGAGACCCUCAGGGAAGAAAUGCCAGAGGUGUCAUCCAGUCCAGUUAAGAAUCAUUUGUGCAGGAAAAACUGAGCCUCAAGGUUUCCAAUCUGUAUUGGCCUUGUUUAGCUUUGCUGCCUUCUGUCACUUUGAAAUGUUUUAAAUAAAUCUUUGUAUCUUA